GAUGAACGCUGGCGGCGUGCUUAACACAUGCCAGUCGAACGAUGAAGCCCAGCUUGCUGGGUGGAUUAGUGGCGAACGGGUGAGUAACACGUGAGUAACCUGCCCUUAACUCUGGGAUAAGCCUGGGAAACUGGGUCUAAUACCGGAUAGGAGCGUCCACCGCAUGGUGGGUGUUGGAAAGAUUUAUCGGUUUUGGUUGGACUCGCGGCCUAUCAGCUUGUUGGUGAGGUAAUGGCUCACCAAGGCGACGACGGGUAGCCGGCCUGAGAGGGUGACCGGCCACACUGGGACUGAGACACGGCCCAGACUCCUACGGGAGGCAGCAGUGGGGAAUAUUGCACAAUGGGCGCGAGCCUGAUGCAGCGACGCCGCGUGAGGGAUGACGGCCUUCGGGUUGUAAACCUCUUUCAGUAGGGAAGAAGCGAAAGUGACGGUACCUGCAGAAGAAGCACCGGCUAACUACGUG
This 466-nucleotide ribosomal RNA is filed under the name uncultured bacterium. RNAcentral's name for it is "partial 16S ribosomal RNA". It matches the Rfam family "Bacterial small subunit ribosomal RNA", at positions 28 to 507 of the family's 1533-position model. The record is from RNAcentral.